Non-coding RNA from Maylandia zebra (zebra mbuna), 235 nucleotides. NCBI's taxonomy places the organism in Eukaryota, Metazoa, Chordata, Actinopteri, Cichliformes, Cichlidae. The record is from RefSeq and is a predicted model, not a curated record.
CAGCAGAGCCGGGAAAAGGGGGCGGAGCAAAGUGUCUGUGCAGGAGUGGAGUCCAGCAGAGAGAGCUGCUUUUUCAUGAAACUUUAGAUCAGCGUGAACCACAUGGGUCUCUGCUCCCUGAUCUGUUUCCUGUGUUUGGAAAGACUUCCACCUUCAUCACGGAGUUUCUCUCGGCUUUUUGUGGGCUCAUCUAAAGCUGAGUAACAGGAGGAGAAGAGUGGUGGUGCAGCAGAGG